AAGACUAUACUUUCAGGGAUCAUUUCUAAAGUUAUUGACUUGAGAAAUGUGUUUCUACACUGUAUGGUCUCGCUUACCACGAUGAUGAGUUGCUGAUACUCCUUCUUGAGCAUGAAGUGGGUAGAAAGAGAUGAUUUGUUUCAUGUACUCUCUACCAAUGAUGACUGUUCACUGUUGAUUCAGAGACAGUGGAAGGUUGGAGUAUGAUCAGAGUGGA
This is a small nucleolar RNA of Fundulus heteroclitus (mummichog), 217 nucleotides long. RefSeq annotates it as small nucleolar RNA U3. The record is from RefSeq and is a predicted model, not a curated record. Lineage: Eukaryota; Metazoa; Chordata; Actinopteri; Cyprinodontiformes; Fundulidae. The transcript has a single exon.